GUUGAAAUGACCGUCGUAGUAGUAAGCAAUUAUGUAGGCAACCGUGUUCAAGACUAAUGAGAAAGCUCGUGAGGUAUAUAUAAUCAGCUGUACAGAAAGUGUCGACGUGGAAAAAAAAACGUUAAACCAUCCAACAUGUCCAAACGAGAAAAGUAACGCCUUAUUUAUAACAAAACUAUUUACGAAAAUUAACAAAUAUGCAAGACAGACAACAUACAGCGAACCAACGACAACCACCGGACUACAGGCUGAAUUUGGACAGGCCCAUACAUAAUGUUGAAGGGAUAAACAUGUCUGUUAGCGUUCAACCCUUCCUGAAUCUUGGACAGCGAUGUAACAACACAACAUAUAAAGAACACACAGUAAAUAAUAAUGAAACUCGCG
RNAcentral lists this long non-coding RNA (384 nucleotides) under Mytilus galloprovincialis (Mediterranean mussel). Lineage: Eukaryota; Metazoa; Mollusca; Bivalvia; Mytilida; Mytilidae. The record is from RNAcentral.